GAUCUUUUCCAUUGUUACCAGUGC
This 24-nucleotide non-coding RNA is filed under the name Arabidopsis thaliana (thale cress). Lineage: Eukaryota; Viridiplantae; Streptophyta; Magnoliopsida; Brassicales; Brassicaceae. The record is from RNAcentral.